This 164-nucleotide ribosomal RNA is filed under the name uncultured bacterium. Its description in RNAcentral is "partial 16S ribosomal RNA". It matches the Rfam family "Bacterial small subunit ribosomal RNA", at positions 355 to 509 of the family's 1533-position model. The record is from RNAcentral.
UAGGGAAUUUUCGUCAAUGGGCGCAAGCCUGAACGAGCGAUGCCGCGUGAGUGAAGAAGGCCUUCGGUCGUAAAGCUCUGUUGCGGGGGGAAAAAAAGGACAGCAUCAGGAAAUGGGUGCUGACUGAUGGUGCCCCGCCAGAAAGUCACGGCUAACUACGUGCC